UACGUAGGGUGCGAGCGUUGUCCGGAAUUAUUGGGCGUAAAGAGCUUGUAGGCGGUUUGUCGCGUCUGCUGUGAAAUUUCGGGGCUCAACCCCGAACUUGCAGUGGGUACGGGCAGACUAGAGUGUGGUAGGGGAGACUGGAAUUCCUGGUGUAGCGGUGAAAUGCGCAGAUAUCAGGAGGAACACCGAUGGCGAAGGCAGGUCUCUGGGCCACUACUGACGCUGAGAAGCGAAGGCAUGGGGAGCGAACAGG
Molecule: ribosomal RNA, 253 nt
Filed under: uncultured bacterium
Lineage: Bacteria
Description: partial 16S ribosomal RNA
Rfam family: Bacterial small subunit ribosomal RNA
Source: RNAcentral